This 63-nucleotide transfer RNA is filed under the name Diploptera punctata (Pacific beetle cockroach). RNAcentral describes it as "tRNA-Leu". Lineage: Eukaryota; Metazoa; Arthropoda; Insecta; Blattodea; Blaberidae. The record is from RNAcentral.
ACUAUUUUGGCAGAUAAGUGCCUCAGAGUUAGAAUCUGAUUAUGUAAGUGUUUACAGAUAGUA